AGAGUUUGAUCCUGGCUCAGAAUCAACGCUGGCGGCGUGCCUAACACAUGCAAGUCGAGCGAGAAAAGGGGAGCAAUCCCCUGAGUAAAGCGGCGCACGGGUGAGUAACACGUGGGUAAUCUGCCCUGGAGUGGGGAAUAACACCGGGAAACCGGUGCUAAUACCGCAUACGAUCACGAAGUCUGCGGAUUUUGUGAUGAAAGGAGCAAUUCGCUCUAGGAGGAGCCCGCGGCUGAUUAGCUAGUUGGUGAGGUAACGGCUCACCAAGGCUACGAUCAGUAUCCGGUCUGAGAGGACGGUCGGACACACUGGAACUGAGACACGGUCCAGACUCCUACGGGAGGCAGCAGUGGGGAAUUUUUGGCAAUGGGGGCAACCCUGACCAAGCAACGCCGCGUGGGUGAUGAAGUCUCUUGGGACGUAAAACCCUUUCGACGGGGACGAAAGCCGCAAGGUUUGACGGUACCCGUAGAAGAAGCCCCGGCUAACUCCGUGCCAGCCGCCGCGGUAAUAC
Molecule: ribosomal RNA, 514 nt
Filed under: uncultured bacterium
Lineage: Bacteria
Description: bacterial SSU rRNA
Rfam family: Bacterial small subunit ribosomal RNA
Source: RNAcentral